This 275-nucleotide ribosomal RNA is filed under the name uncultured bacterium. Its description in RNAcentral is "partial 16S ribosomal RNA". It matches the Rfam family "Bacterial small subunit ribosomal RNA", at positions 523 to 796 of the family's 1533-position model. The record is from RNAcentral.
AUACGGAGGGGACUAGCGUUGUUCGGAAUUACUGGGCGUAAAGGGCUCGUAGGCGGUUUCGUAAGUCGGGUGUGAAAACUCAGGGCUCAACCCUGAGACGCCACUCGAUACUGCGAUGACUUGAGUCCGGUAGGGUAGCAGGGAAUUCCUGGUGUAGCGGUGAAAUGCGCAGAUAUCAGGAGGAACACCAUUAGCGAAGGCGCUGCUCUGGGCCGGUACUGACGCUGAGGAGCGAAAGCAUGGGGAGCAAACAGGAUUAGAUACCCUUGUAGUCC